Molecule: long non-coding RNA, 5795 nt
Filed under: Sus scrofa (pig)
Lineage: Eukaryota; Metazoa; Chordata; Mammalia; Artiodactyla; Suidae
Description: lncRNA (ENSSSCG00015077484.1)
Source: RNAcentral
CAACACUUUCCACGAGGAAAGAGACCCUCUCUGCUGUGUGCAGUGUUCGCGUUGGUGAUCUUGUCCCUCGUUUUUCUCUUUCCUUUACUUAUUUUUUGAAGAUAUGGAUUUUCAUGAGAAGGCUCUCAAGGGAUUUUGCUAGAAAACUCCAUUCGUCCUCUCUCAAUCUGAAGCACGGAGGUCAGACACAAUGCCUGCGGUUCACUGAAUGAUAGCUACGUGCCAAGGGCCCCACGUGUAGGAAAUCAUUUGCUCCUCACUGCAGCACAGAGAGAAAACCAGUGCCUGAUGGAAAUGUAAGUCACUCAUCCGAGACUGCAUAGCUAGGGACUGAUGGAGGCUGCAAUUUGAAUCCGAGAGAUGUGUAACCACUGUGCCAUCAGGAGGAGGAAGCAUGGCCCGAAGCAGCAGGAAGAGCUCCAGGAGCUCCCAGAACGCCUGGGAUCCAGUCUCAACUCUGCCAUGAAGGACCUGAAGCAACCAGUGGUGACGGCUGUACCUGUCUGCUUAGGCUGCCACCGCCAAGUACCACCAACUGGGUGGUUUACACUACAGAAAUGUGUGACCUCACAGUUCUAGAGUCUGGAAGUUCAAGAUUAAGGUGUCAGGGGGGUUGAUUUCUUCUGAGGCCUCUGUCCUUGGCUGGUGGAUGGGCGUCUUCCCCUGUAUCUCCGCGUGGUCUGCUCCUCUGCACGCACACUCCUCCUCUAAGGACACCAGUCAUCCUGGAUUACCCCCCAAUGACCUCAUUGAACCUAAUUACCUCUAAACAGACUUGUACCCAGGUACUGGGUUAGGACCACAACAUAGGAAUUUGGAGGGACAUAGUUCCACCAAUAACACGGGCUAAAAUCGAGGCAGCCACAGGGCUUAUGGAGACUCUCCAGUAGUGUGUUCCCUGGCCUUUUUCAGCAUCUAGUUGUCCCUACAUGCUUUGGCUUGUGACCCCCCUUUUCAUCCUCAAAGCAUGUCAUUUUAAUCACUGUUUGUAUCAUCGCCUCACCUUUCUCACCCUGACGCUGCUGCCUCCCUCUUAUAAGGACUCCUGGGAUUUAACCAGGCCCAGACCCAUCGAGGUAAUCAGGAUAAUCUCAUAUCAAAAUCUUCAGGUAAGUACAUGGCAAAGCCCCUUUGAUCAUAGAAGGUAACCUAGUCACAAGUUCUGGGGAUGUGGGCGGACACAAUUCAGCCCAGAGUCACCACUUUCUGCUUCUAGGCAGAAGUUGGUAAAUCCAUAAAACAUGAAAACCGUGAAAUAGCAGACGCCUCCUUGAUCAUCAUGCAGGGCUCUUGUAAGGAUCAAAUAGCAUAAUCAGUAGAAAAUGCUUGGGCUUGUCAAGACCACCAUAAAUGUAAGGCAAUUGCAGGUGUUUAUAUUGUUCGCUUUGUAACCCCCUCAAGCUGUCUGAUACCUGGUAGUGUGAGACCCACACGUAUUAGAAAGAUAGUAGUUAGUAAACUGGAUGCAUCUGCUGUCAUUUCUUUAUUUAGUCUCUGAACCCUCAAAACAAUGCAGCAAAAGCAGUGUAGUUAGUCCAUAAAAGCUUGUCAUUUUGGCUCCUGUACACUUUAGUGGCCAAAGACUUCAUUUCUGUUCAUUUUUAAACAGCAGGCACUCUUGGCCAUGGAGCUCAGGUCCUCCCAACAAGCCCAGCACUUUCGGGAAAGAAACAGUCGUGGUGGCUGAAGAACGACAGGGUGGGCCCCCUGCAUUUUAUGUAGAACGUUUUAUGCUUAAGUGACCAGUUGACACUCUUGUGGUAUAAUUAAUGCUGGUUUGCUCUUCUAUCACUGCAUAACAAACUACCCCAGUACCUAGUGACUUAAAAGAAUAAUUGUUUAAUUAUAUUGCAUGUUUUUUUGUUUUUUUUUUUGUGAGUCAAGCCUCCCUUGUGGGAUGAAACAGACCGGUUCUGUGGCGUCCACUGGUCUCCCUGGGCAGUAUUCAGCUGGAGGUUGGCCUGCUGAGCAGAUGGAGGAUGGCUUGGUUCUCCUGCCUGGGACCUGGCCUGGGCCCAUGGGGAGGCCAGCCUCAGUUGCGGGCCCUCUCCGCCUCCAGGCAAUCUCAGAGGAUUUCCUAGAGUCCCUCAACAAUGUAGGUGGACUUCUUACCCAAUGGCUCAGGGCUCCUGGAGAGAGUGUCGGAGCACAGGGAGCGUAUAUUCCCAGUCUACCAGGCCGGCUCCACCAUGUUCUUUUGGUCAAAGCAGUACCCAGGGCCAUCCAGAUGUGAUGGGUGAGCAUACAUGCCCCGCUCUUGUUGGGAGUAGUGUCCAAAAAUCUGCAGUUGUCUUUAAUCUGCCACCAGCGCUGACAAAUGUGUGUUCCUCUUCUGUACGCAUGAGAGAGAAGAAGCAGACUGAAAGGGAAAUAAUACUGUCAUAGACAAAGCAGUUAAAUACUUUCUUUUUCCAGCCUAGCGGACAAGCGAAGUGAAUAGAGGUAGGACAUAAAUGGAGACAUGAAGGGGAAGGGAGAAAAGCCAUCGGGUGGGUAGCACGGUGACCACAAAGAGCCAGCAGCUCAGAGCUAGCACACAUGGGUCAGCUGACCAGGAAGCUGGGCUGUCUGUGAGGGCACCCCUGGUCCUGGCACGGGCGGCAGGAAUGUCCGUCCCUCUUGUCAUUCAUUCAGCUUAACAUUUUCUGAGCAUCUACUAUAAACAAAACACUGAGCAGGUCAUUAAGGACAUAAAGAUCAGUCAGACAUGCUCUGCCUUCCAAAAGCUUCAAAUCCUCCAGAGAAGACAGACAUGGCAAUUGUAAAACACAGUGUGACACAGAAUGUGGAAGAAUUCUAUCUUCACUGAUAACCUUGAGUUGGCAAACAUUCUACCACCCAUGUUUAUUUUGAGAAUGCAAAUAAAUGAUUGCAAAGACCAAUUUUACAUCUAUUUAAUUCCCCAUACAACUGCUACUUAAAAGAUGUCCAUCCGCAGGAGUCUCCUCAAUAUUCUAGAAAUCUUAACUAUCAGAAAUUCCUUAACGGCAGUGGAUAUUAGUGGUUUUCAGCAGUUUUAAGACUUGCUGUCAAGUGUGAUGGAGGUCCCACGAGGUCCCUGACCCUGUGCUUGGAGUUUGCGUUACAUGGACAAACUGGUACCAGUGCUGGAGAACUUUCCAGCCCAUUUGGUGAGAGAAGCAAAUAAACUGCUCACCUCUCUGUCAUGUCUAUUCCAUUCAGCCACCGAGAGUCUGCUGUGGGCCAGAUACCAUCUGGGCAGCAACAGACGAAGAAUACUAAGCACCUCCUCUCAUGGAACCUACAUUCCCAUGGGGAGAAUGACAAUAAAGAACUAAAUAAAUGGGUAAAUAUUAUAAAUGCAGAGAACUGUAAAUGAUACAGACCCCCCCAAAAAAAAAAAUGAUACAAGGUGGCUCGGGCAGAGGAGGGUGAGUGAAGGGGUCGAUUCCAGAUGAGGUGUCACUAUUUUUCAACUCCUUGGGUCAUUAAAACACAACACAUGCUUAGCCUAUGCCUGGAAUACAUCUUAUACUUAAUAUUCCAACAUGUAACCAUCACCGUAGCCUGCCCAUACUGAAGUCACUUGUUUUCUUACCUCUUAACAGAGGAAAACACCAUGAGGGCACAGACCAUGACUCAUCAGCUACUAAAUAAUGAAUAGUUGGUGAAGUGUUGCAGCCAGCACCCCAGGAAUGUCUAAAGUGCCUAAGAAUGACAAGAAAGGAAGGGACAAGAAUAGAUGCCCCAAAUCUUUUCAUCUCGGACUUUUCAUGGACACUUGGAGGAUGCAGCAGGAGGGGAGCCCACAUGGAGAGCAAUUAAGUUUUGCUCCUAAUCUGGUUGCUGUUUUGUUUAUUUGCUGGCUUUGGAGAUGGGGGUAUUAAUUGAACAGCACACUUGUUAGCUUAAAAAUGCCAGGACUGACUUACACACUUGUGUAAGUAAUUAACUCCCCAGAAACCAACCUGAGACUUCAGUUGGCAAGAACUUAGUACUACUUGGCUUAGUCAGUUUGGUAAAUAAAUUUAAAUAGCAAAGUAUUACUUGUGCUGGGAGGAAGAGAGACAGAGACAAAUAGAGAUAGAGAUGGAAACAGAGGAAUUUGCUUGGAGAAAGAGAGGCAGAGCUGCAUGUUCAAGUCCUAGACCAACCAAGAGAAAUAACCAACCUGUGUCAACCAUAUACCAUGUAGGAGUCUGUAAUAGCUGAUUUAUGAACAUGAUUCCAUUAAAUUCUUUUGACAACCCUGAAGGGCAGGUGCCUAUUAUCAGAGGGGUGAAGUAACUUGCUCAAUGUCACAGAGCUAGUGAAUGACAGAACUUCCACUUGAAUCUGGAGCUAUUUCACUAGGAAAUCUCUGACUAGAAAGUUUUAUUAUUAGCAGCAUCAUCAUCAUCAUAGCUAAAACUGUUUAGGUAUCUCAGUGCCAGUCAUUUGACUGCACUCCAAUUCUUUGAAAACUAGCCAUCCAAGGGUACCCAAAUGGCUUUCCCUGAUAAAAAAAAAAAAAGCCACCCUAAAACUAAGUAGUUUAAAACAAGAACUUUUAUUCAUCGUAUUAUUCUGUGGGUCAGCCGAUGGUUUGUCAUGUCUGUGAUAGCUGAGCCGACCUACCCUGGGUGCUCUCCUGCGCCUUGGUCAGCUGGCAGGUGGGAGCAUCUGAGCCUUCUUUUCAGCCACUUGGCAUUCAGCAGAAUGGCUUGGGCCACUCCCAUGAUGGUCAGAGUCUCUAGGGCAGCAGGAGAGGGGAGGCCUCCGUGGCUAAGCACCCUUAAGUCUGCCUGUGUCACACUCACUGUAAUCUACUAGCCAGAGCAGAUCACGUGGGAAACCCAGUGUCUGGGGGGAAAAUUGCAUGGUUUCAAGAAAGCCAUUAUUUUGUGGUCAUUUUUUCAUACAAUCUAAAACAUCAUUUUGGCAAAUUCUGUUCACUUAUUCAUUUACUCGACCACCUUCAAUGUCAAUGAGUACUGUUGUGCCAAACCUCACCCUGAACUGGAAAGAUGAAACAGACUUUGAUCUAGGGUUUCUGAGCUAACAGGAAAAGGACACAGAAAUUCUGACAAAAGUAGUAUUAAGUAUCAUGUGAAGGGGAUUAAAAAAAUAGUCAGGUGGUCUGGAGAUCUAAGAAGUUACAACAAAUAAAACAAGUUAGAGUUCCAUGAAGGAGGGAUGUUUAGUCAGGACCUUGAAGAAUACAUGCUGAGAAUGGUACAUGCUCAGGUGUCUGCGAGAAGCUAUGAUAUGGUGAGAGGCUGACCAGCUACUUGACUGAGAGUCAUGGCUUUCCACACUCGCAUAACCUUGUUUGCACUCCGCAAGUGUAGGGAGCUCUCUCUUUUAUAGAAAUGUCUUCAGCUCCAACCUCUUGGUAUAGGGGGUGGUUUCCAGGAAAUAAAUUGGUUGGAAAGAGGACCCGAAAAGGAGUACAAUGUUUUAAGGAAACCAUGUCCGGAGGACACACCUGAGCAAGGUGUGUGAGCCAGGCAAGUGUUGAUUCCAGGAAGGAAGAGAUAAACAUUGUCAGGAAGGGGAUGCCUGGGGGGCUGGAGUGGGGAGAGCAAGAGUCAUGGCCACUCUCGGGUCGCUGAGGCAUCACAGUGGUGGUGCCAUCGACAAAAUAAGAAAGAGAGGCACAAAGCUUGGUUUGAAAUUUGUUGAGCUUGAGGUCUCUGUGCCACAUGUAGGAGGCAAGGUUUAGUCUGAUGCUGGGUGUUUGGAUCUGGACCUUGGAAGAAAUUUCAAAGCUGGAAAGGAAAUCAUUAACAAGGGGAUAGGUGGUGAAAUCAUGGGUACGAAUGAGAUCAGCAGAAAAGAAUUUACCGAAAAAA